RNAcentral lists this long non-coding RNA (509 nucleotides) under Gallus gallus (chicken). RNAcentral describes it as "long non-coding RNA NONGGAT003650". The record is from RNAcentral. Lineage: Eukaryota; Metazoa; Chordata; Aves; Galliformes; Phasianidae.
GGAGAUGUGGCACAGUGAGCAUGGUGGAGUAAGAAAAAGAGACCUUGGAGAGAUCAGAUCUGUGUACCGUGACUGUUCAGAACAACUUAGCUCAAGCCAAGCCUGAAGGAUUAAUAGAGCCCUGGACAAUUUGGAAGAAGAUUCAUAGCGAAAGUCAUGCUGAUAGUUCCUGCUUAUACCAUUUUAAGAGCUGCUGCCUUCUUAUUUGAUAAAUUGAGAAUAUCACCAAUAAAAAGGAUAUAUCACAGCAGCCUUUCAGGUAAGCUAUACCACUACGUCCCAGACUGCCCAAGCUCCCAGAGGACCUUCUUGAAUAUUCCUUAGCAGUCAUAACUGGAACCAUCAUCCUUUGUGCAGUUCUCAAUGAGAAGUUCCCAGCAAUGGAAAACACAGUUCAAUGGAGAGUAACUACAACCACAGUCUGAGCACAAGAUUGUAAAUCACCACUGUGAGACAGAAAAAAAUACAAAAGCACCAAUGGACAAAUUACAUAAAAUAAUAAUAUUCUG